AGCAGUCGCCGCGGGAAUACGUAGGGUGCAAGCGUUAAUCGGAAUUACUGGGCGUAAAGCGUGCGCAGGCGGCUUUUUAAGUCGGAUGUGAAAUCCCUGAGCUUAACUUAGGAAUUGCAUUCGAUACUGGGAAGCUAGAGUAUGGGAGAGGAUGGUAGAAUUCCAGGUGUAGCGGUGAAAUGCGUAGAGAUCUGGAGGAAUACCGAUGGCGAAGGCAGCCAUCUGGCCUAAUACUGACGCUGAGGUACGAAAGCAUGGGGAGCAAACAGGAUUAGAUACCCGGGUAGUCCCUGUCUCUUAUAC
This 303-nucleotide ribosomal RNA is filed under the name uncultured bacterium. RNAcentral's name for it is "partial 16S ribosomal RNA". It matches the Rfam family "Bacterial small subunit ribosomal RNA", at positions 507 to 807 of the family's 1533-position model. The record is from RNAcentral.